Molecule: ribosomal RNA, 253 nt
Filed under: uncultured bacterium
Lineage: Bacteria
Description: partial 16S ribosomal RNA
Rfam family: Bacterial small subunit ribosomal RNA
Source: RNAcentral
UACGUAGGGUGCAAGCGUUGUCCGGAAUUAUUGGGCGUAAAGAGCUCGUAGGCGGUUCGUCGCGUCGGCUGUGAAAUCCCGAGGCUCAACCUCGGGUCUGCAGUCGAUACGGGCGGACUGGAGUUCGGCAGGGGAGACUGGAAUUCCUGGUGUAGCGGUGAAAUGUGUAGAGAUCGGGAGGAACACCGGUGGCGAAGGCGGGUCUCUGGGCAUUUCCUGACGCUGAGGCGCGAAAGCGUGGGGAGCAAACGGG